Molecule: long non-coding RNA, 553 nt
Filed under: Pan troglodytes (chimpanzee)
Lineage: Eukaryota; Metazoa; Chordata; Mammalia; Primates; Hominidae
Description: long non-coding RNA NONPTRT009756
Source: RNAcentral
GGGGAUGAAGGCAAAAGACACAUUAAUGCAGUCUUCAAGGAGCUAAGACCUUGAUAUAGGAUGAGGGCAGAGAGGAAGGGAUGUCUUUGGAGAAACUUUUGAUGUCUUGCAGGCACGAGAUGAGUUCACAAGCAAUCAGUGCUGGAAGGAUGUGCAAAAUAAAAGUUAAGAGAAGCUGAGGAUAUAGAAGGCAUCCUGAAAGUAAAACAGCUGAGGACCACAAAGCAUAUCAUGGAAAAUCUGUUAAGCAGGGGAGGUCAGGGUUGGAGCAGGCUCUAGACCACGGCCUCUAUCAUGAAUGCACCAGUGGUAUCAAGGCCGAUAUUCUGAAAAGUAACUAGCAUACCAGGCUUCAGGAGCUUACCUUCCGGGUCUGGGGACAGUGACAAGCCCAAGCUCCAGGAAGACUAUCAAAGGGAAACAACUGCUAUUAGGGCAGCAGGAGAAACAAGCACUGGAGAGAGGCUGAGUAUGUGAAUAAUCCCACACUGUGAUCACUCAUGACCUGCUAAAAGCUCUGGCUUGCCUCAUUUGAAGAAAUAAUCAAAUUCUG